Molecule: long non-coding RNA, 1811 nt
Filed under: Canis lupus familiaris (dog)
Lineage: Eukaryota; Metazoa; Chordata; Mammalia; Carnivora; Canidae
Description: lncRNA (ENSCAFG00845029895.1)
Source: RNAcentral
UUUUUUUUUUUUAAAGACUAUAUUUAUUUAUUUGACACAGUGAGAGAGCACACAAGCAGGGGGAAAGACAGAAGCAGGCUCCCCACUGAGCAGGGAGCCUGAUGCAGGGCUCAAUCCCAGGGUCCUGGGAUCAUGACCUGAGCUGAAUGCAGAUGUUUAACUGACUGAGCCACCCAGGUGCCCUCCACCCAACAUUUAAAGAAGAGUUAAUACCUAUCAUUUUCAGCUAUUCCAAAAAACAGAAUAGGAAAGAAUGCUUCCAAAUUCAUUCUACGAGACCAGCAUUAUUCUGAUACAAAACCCAAACAGAAACAUUACCAAAAAUAUUGUAGAUUAAUAUUCAUGAUGAACAUAGAUGCAAAAAUCCUCAACAAAAUAUUCACAAACUGAAUUCAACAAUACAUUUACAAAGGAUCAUUCACCAUGAUCAAGUGGAAUUUAUUUCAGGGAUGCAAGAACAGUUCAGUUUUAACAAAAUGAAGGAUAAAAAUUCUAUGAGUAUUUCAACAGAUGCAGAAAAAAAACAUGCGGCAGAAUUCAACAUCCAUUUAUGAUAAAAAUUCUCAACAGAGUUGGUAGAGAGGGAACAUAACCCAACAUAAUAAUAGGCCAUAUAUGACAAGCCUAUAGCUAACACAGUGAAAAGCUGAAAGCUUUUCUUCUAAGAUCAGGAACAAGACAGGGAUGUCCACCCUCACCACAUUUAUUCAACAUAGUACAGGAAGUCCUAUGGAUCAGACAAGAAAAGGAAAUAAAGGCACCUACAAUAGUAAAGAAGAAAUGAAACUAUCACUAUCUGCAGGUGACAUGACACUAUAUAAAGAAAACCCUAAAGACUCCACCAAAAAAAUAUCAGAAUAAAUUAUUUAGUAAAGUUUCAGGAUAAAAAAUUAAUAUACAGAAUCUGUUGUUUCAAUAUACGAAUAAGUAUGUGAAAGAAAUUAACAAUCCUAUGUAUAAUUGCCUCAAAAAGAGUAAAAUACCAAGAAUAAAUUAAACCAAGGAGGUAGAAGACUUGCACUCUGAAAACUAUUAAGAUAGUGAUGAAAGAAGUUGAAGAUGAUACAGAUAAACAGAAAGAUAUUCUGUGCUAAUGAACUGGAAGAAUAAUGUUAAAAUGUCCAUACCAACCAAAGCAAACUACAGAUUUGGUACAAUCCCUAUCAAAAUGCUAAUAGUAUUUUUCAUGAACUAAAAGCAAAUAAUUCUAAAAUUUGUAUGGAAAAACAAAAUACCCCAAACAGCAAAAGCAAUCUUGAGAAAGAACAAAGCUGGGGGUAUCACGCUUCUUUAUUUCAAACUAUAUUACAAAUCUAUCAUGUUAAAAACAGUAUGGUAUUGGCAUAAAAAAGAUACAUUACCUAUUGAACAGACUAGAGAGCCCAGAAAUAAACUCACAUUUAUAUGGUGAAUUAAUCUAUGAUAAAGAACACAAGAAUAUAGAAGAGAAAGUCUCUUCAAUAAAUGCUGCUGGGAAAACUGGAGAGCUACACCCACACACAAAAAUAAACUCAAAAUGUAUUAAAGACCUAAAUAUGAGACCUGAAACCAUAAAACUGCUUAAAGAAAACAGAGGUGGUAAACUUCUGGACAUUGGCCCCAGAAAUAUUUUCCUGGAUCUGUGCCUUCAGACAAGGGAAAUAAAAGUAAAAAUAAAUAACUGAGAUUACAACCAAUGAAAAGGAGGGACACCUGGGUGGCUCAGUGGUUGAGUGUCUGCCUUUGGCUCAGGGUGUGAUCCUGGAGUCCUGGGACUGAGUCCCACCUUGGGCUCCCUGCAUGGAGCCUGCUUCUCUCUCUGCCUAUGUCUC